This is a long non-coding RNA of Pygocentrus nattereri (red-bellied piranha), 1437 nucleotides long. NCBI's taxonomy places the organism in Eukaryota, Metazoa, Chordata, Actinopteri, Characiformes, Serrasalmidae. The record is from Ensembl.
AUGCUGGUAUCUGGCACAGAGACAGCAGUAAGUCGUAUAAGUUGUAAGCUGUGAUGUGUGAGCCAUAUUUAAGUGUUUUGAUGGUUUGCUUACAUGUUCUCUUUUGUUGGCUUGGUGAGUGUGCGCCCCCUAUAGGUGAUUGGUGUCACCCUAUAAAUCUGUGACUGAGAUGCCUGACGGAAAGGAAGGCAGAGCAGCAAUAGUCAUUGACCUCAGUUGGCGCCUCAGUUGGCACCUGGACACCCAGCCGCCAUUGGGGCGUGUCAGCCAAACGGCCUCGCUCUAUCCUGGGCUCCUAAUAGUUAUUAAUGUGAUGUUUAUGGACUUCAGGCUAUUACUGCAACAUUUCAUUUUGUAUUUCUAUUUAUUCAUAAUAAAUUUCCGGCGAUAUUUUGCAUCAAAUACCCUCUUUGGAAUUCUUGGAAACCAGCUGUGAGUCUGACACUGAAUCUGUCUUCUUCUGUUUGGUAAAGACAUCUGGAAACUGGAAACAAGGGGUUACAGGAUAAACUCAAACAGUUUUACCAUCACAUUACGUCAAUGACGCGCUGUGGAAUUUUUUUGGAAGAAACUUUGGAAUUACGCCUGUUUGGAGACAACAGGAAAUAGUCCUGGGCAUGGAGAGUUGAACAAAGGAAUGCUUCAAUGGAGGUAUGUGCCUUCAAAUGCCAAACUUUGGACGGUCCUUUCGUUAGGAUAUAUUCUUGGGUCAAUUUAGAAGCAAGUUUGGUCUGUGAUUGUUUGGUGGACUGUGAUGGCCAAACAUUUGGAGCUCUGAAAUCAAGGCCUGCUCGAGUGAAUGAAGGUGAAAUGUGAUAUCUUGGUUUUUCUACGCACUGGUUUUGAACUUGUUGGAUUCUGUAGUGUUCAGCGAAAAUAGUUUGAUAUUUUUGUGUUUUUGUGAAAUGAACAGAAUUCCGAACAUGACUGACGUGGCGUGCUGCGUUUGCCCUCAGCCCAAUCUGGGAAAAUGUCUCACAUCACUCGGAGAAGGAACAUUUUGAAUCAUCUAAUGGCCGGAAUGAACGCAAGGACAUUUGCUAUUGCUGACCCACUGAGUAAGCUGAAACCCACCUUUACUGCACAACGAAGUGAGAUCCUUUACCAGCUGGAUGGCAUCAGAUUCUUUGGUUACAGAUUUAGCGCGAAAGGAAGGCAGAGCAGCAAUACAGUCAUUGACCGCAGUUGGCACCUCGACACCCAGCCGCCAUUGGGGCGUGUCAGCCAAACGGCCUCGCUCUAUCCUGGGCUCCUAAUAGUUAUUAAUGUGAUGUUUAUGGACUUCAGGCUAUUACUGCAAAAUUUCAUUUUGUAUUUCUAUUUAUUCAUAAUAAAUUUCCGGCAAUAUUUUGCAUCAAAUACCCUCUUUGGAAUUCUUGGAAACCAGCUGCGAGUCUGACACUGUGGUAAAGACAACUGGAAACAAGGGGUUACAGG